This 818-nucleotide ribosomal RNA is filed under the name uncultured organism. RNAcentral describes it as "bacterial SSU rRNA". It matches the Rfam family "Bacterial small subunit ribosomal RNA", at positions 686 to 1510 of the family's 1533-position model. The record is from RNAcentral.
AUGCGUAGAUAUCUGGAGGAACACCAGUGGCGAAGGACGGCUUUCUGGGCUAGUUCUGACGAUAUGACUCGAAAGCAUGGGGAGCGAACGGGUUUCGAAACCCCGUAAUUCCAGGCCGAAAUCGAUGCUAACGAGAUGUUGCGGGUACAAGACCCUCUGUGCCGGAGCAAACGCGAUAAGCAUAGCCACAUGGGGACUACGGUCGCAAGGCUAGAACUCAAAGGAAUUGACGGGGGCCCGCACAAGCAGCGGAGCGUGUGGUUUAAUUCGAGGCUACACGAAGAACCUUACCUGGGCUUGACAUGCACGGUGGUAGGGAACCGAAAGGGGACCGACCUUCGGGAGCGUGCCACAGAUUGAUCCAUGCCUUUCUUCAGCUUCUUGUCUAAAGAUGUUCGGUUAAGUCCCGGUAACGAGCGCACCCCUCAUCCUUAGUUUCCAAGGUCUAAGGGAGACUCCCCUUUCAACGCGGGAGGAAGGCGGGGAGAAGGCCAGUCAGCCAGGCCCUUUAAUCCAGGGGUACACACACCGUCCCAUGGCAGGUUCCAUAGGGUCGGCAACCCGGAGGGGGGACCCAUUCCACCAAAGCCUGUCACAUUGAGAAUCACUGGGUGCAUCCAGCCCGCAUGAAGUGAGAGUUGAUUAUAACCGCAUGUCAUAUAUUGUGGGGAGUAUAUUUCCCCGCGCUUUGCACACCCCCCCCGUCACGUCAGGGGAGGGGGUCACGCGAGACGUCGGUGAGCCAACCACAAGGAGGCACCCGCCUAAGGCAGGGCUGGUGACUGGGACGAAGUCGUAACAAGGUAACCAAGGGCGAA